CCGGAUUGGGACUUUCAGGUAACGAAUGCCGUUACAGUUGAUCUGGCUCAGGACGAACGUUAGCGGCGUGCCUAACACAUGCAAGUCGAACGAAGUUCUGCCCUUCGGGACAGAACUUAGUGGCGAACGGGUGAGUAACGCGUGAAUAACCUGCCUUUCAGUGGGGGACAACAGGUGGAGACGACUGCUAAUACCGCAUAACACUUCUUGGAGGCAUCUCUGAGAAGUCAAAGCUUUAUGUGCUGAAAGAUGGAUUCGCGUCUGAUUAGCUAGUUGGUGAGGUAACGGCUCACCAAGGCGACGAUCAGUAGCCGGUCUGAGAGGAUGAACGGCCACAUUGGGACUGAGAUACGGCCCAGACUCCUACGGGAGGCAGCAGUGGGGAAUAUUGGGCAAUGGGGGAAACCCUGACCCAGCAACGCCGCGUGAGGGAACAAGGCUUUCGGGUUGUAAACCUCUUUUACCAGGGACGAAGAACGUGACGGUACCUGGAGAACAAGCAACGGCUAACUACGUGCCAGCAGCCGCGGUAAUACGUAGGUUGCAAGCGUUGUCCGGAUUUACUGAGUGUACAGGGCGUGUAUGCGGAGAUGCAAGUUGGAAGUGAAAUCCAUGGGCUCAACCCAUGAACUGCUUUCACAACUGUAUCCCUUGAGUAUCGGAGAGGCAAGCGGAAUUCCUAGUGUACCGGUGAAAUGCGUAGAUAUUAGGAGGAACACCAGUGGCGAAGGCGGCUUGCUGGACGACAACUGACGCUGAGGCGCGAAAGCGUGGGGAGCAAACAGGAUUAGAUACCCUGGUAGUCCACGCUGUAAACGAUGAAUACUAGGUGUGGGAGGACUGACCCCUUCCGUGCCGCAGUUAACACAAUAAGUAUUCCACCUGGGGAGUACGACCGCAAGGUUGAAACUCAAAGGGAUUGACGGGGGCCCGCACAAGCAGUGGAUUAUGUGGUUUAAUUCGACGCAACGCGAAGAACCUUACCAGGAUUUGACAUCCAACUAACGAAGUAGAGAUACAUUAGGUGCCCUUCGGGGAAAGUUGAGACAGGUGGUGCAUGGUUGUCGUCAGCUCGUGUCGUGAGAUGUUGGGUUAAGUCCCGCAACGAGCGCAACCCUUGUUCUUUGUUGCCAGCACGUAACGGUGGGAACUCAAAGAAGACUGCCGGUGACAAACCGGAGGAAGGCAGGGAUGACGUCAAGUCAUCAUGGCCCUUACGUUCAGGGCUACACACGUGCUACAAUGGGGGGCACAGCGCGCCGCUACCCGGUGACAGGUUGCCAAUCGUGAAAUCCCCUCUCAGUUCGGACUGGAGUC
RNAcentral lists this ribosomal RNA (1317 nucleotides) under uncultured Oscillospiraceae bacterium. RNAcentral describes it as "bacterial SSU rRNA". It matches the Rfam family "Bacterial small subunit ribosomal RNA", at positions 1 to 1305 of the family's 1533-position model. The record is from RNAcentral. Lineage: Bacteria; Bacillati; Bacillota; Clostridia; Eubacteriales; Oscillospiraceae.